RNAcentral lists this unclassified non-coding RNA (254 nucleotides) under Rhizophagus sp. (in: glomeromycetes). Its description in RNAcentral is "partial contains 5.8S ribosomal RNA and internal transcribed spacer 2". The stretch from base 1 to 65 matches the Rfam family "5.8S ribosomal RNA", at positions 84 to 154 of the family's 154-position model. The record is from RNAcentral. Lineage: Eukaryota; Fungi; Glomeromycota; Glomeromycetes; Glomerales; Glomeraceae.
GUGAAUCAUCAAAUCUUUGAACGCAAAUUGCACUCUCUUCGGAGAGUAUGCCUGUUUGAGGGUCAGUAUUAAUAAAAAUCGGUGUGUUGCUUCUUUGUGACGCUCCGGAGUUUGGGUCAUCUUAAUAUAUCCUUUAGGUUUUAAGAGGCUUAAAAUUGACUUUUUUUUGCGCAUUUUAUUAGAUGUACAUAAAUUUUUUUUUUUUUUAUUCGUCUGUUUUAAUGUUCAAAAUCAUAUUAGAUGCAACCAUAUCG